AGUUAAGUAGCUUAUUGAAAAGCAAGUGUUUUGAAAGCACAAGACAGAAGUUUAAAUCUUCUAUUAACUU
This 70-nucleotide transfer RNA is filed under the name Sweltsa longistyla. RNAcentral's name for it is "tRNA-Ser". It matches the Rfam family "tRNA". Rfam says of the family: Transfer RNA (tRNA) molecules are approximately 80 nucleotides in length. Their secondary structure includes four short double-helical elements and three loops (D, anti-codon, and T loops). Further hydrogen bonds mediate the characteristic L-shaped molecular structure. tRNAs have two regions of fundamental functional importance: the anti-codon, which is responsible for specific mRNA codon recognition, and the 3' end, to which the tRNAs corresponding amino acid is attached (by aminoacyl-tRNA synthetases). tRNAs cope with the degeneracy of the genetic code in two manners: having more than one tRNA (with a specific anti-codon) for a particular amino acid; and 'wobble' base-pairing, i.e. permitting non-standard base-pairing at the 3rd anti-codon position. The record is from RNAcentral. Lineage: Eukaryota; Metazoa; Arthropoda; Insecta; Plecoptera; Chloroperlidae.